UAACGCGUGAGGAACCUGCCUUCCAGAGGGGGACAACAGUUGGAAACGACUGCUAAUACCGCAUGAUGCAUUUGAAUCGCAUGGUUUGAAUGUCAAAGAUUUAUCGCUGGAAGAUGGCCUCGCGUCUGAUUAGCUAGUUGGUGAGGUAACGGCCCACCAAGGCGACGAUCAGUAGCCGGACUGAGAGGUUGGCCGGCCACAUUGGGACUGAGACACGGCCCAGACUCCUACGGAAGGCAGCAG
RNAcentral lists this ribosomal RNA (243 nucleotides) under uncultured bacterium. RNAcentral's name for it is "partial 16S ribosomal RNA". It matches the Rfam family "Bacterial small subunit ribosomal RNA", at positions 111 to 354 of the family's 1533-position model. The record is from RNAcentral.